CCCCUAGAUGUUCUGGGCCGCACGCGCGCUACACUGAACAGUUCAACAAGUCUUAACCUUGGCCGAUAGGUCUGGGUAAUCUUUGAACGCUGUUCGUGAUUGGGAUAGACCUUUGCAAUUAUGGGUCUUCAACGAGGAAUUCCUAGUAAACGCAAGUCAUCAGCUUGCAUUGAUUACGUCCCUGCCCUUUGUACACACCGCCCGUCGCACCUACCGAUUGAAUGGUCCGGUGAAAUCUCGGGACGGCGGCUUGGUCGCUUGCGUCCGACUGCUGAAACUUGAUUAAACCAUAUCCUUUAGAGGAAGGUGAAGUCGUAACA
RNAcentral lists this ribosomal RNA (320 nucleotides) under uncultured eukaryote. Its description in RNAcentral is "partial 18S ribosomal RNA". It matches the Rfam family "Eukaryotic small subunit ribosomal RNA", at positions 1470 to 1796 of the family's 1831-position model. The record is from RNAcentral.